GGUGGUUCUCAGGUGACACACCCUGGAAUCAGGCUCCUUCCUCUCUGGUUCUAGGUGCAUCACCCAAGAAUCGCA
Myotis davidii is the source of this 75-nucleotide non-coding RNA. The record is from Rfam. NCBI's taxonomy places the organism in Eukaryota, Metazoa, Chordata, Mammalia, Chiroptera, Vespertilionidae.